This 94-nucleotide non-coding RNA is filed under the name pig gut metagenome. Its description in RNAcentral is "SAM riboswitch (S box leader)". It matches the Rfam family "SAM riboswitch aptamer (S box leader)". From Rfam's summary of the family: The SAM riboswitch is found upstream of a number of genes which code for proteins involved in methionine or cysteine biosynthesis in Gram-positive bacteria. The SAM riboswitch acts at the level of transcription termination control. The record is from RNAcentral.
UCUUAUAAAGAGAGGCGGAGGGACAGGCCCGGUGAAGCCCAGCAACCUAUUAAAUUAGGUGCUACAUCCUGCAGGUACAUCCUGAGAGAUAAGA